GUGCAUCGAACUGUCGAGCCAUGAUCUCCUCGCUUGAAGCCCGUUUGCAUGACGUGCUUGAUGGGCAAAGGUCGGGUUCCUGUGCUGCGUACCCACGGAAGUGGAAAUCGAUUUGUUGCUUUGGCAAUUUCGCCCGAUGCCCUAUCUAGGGCAUGAGGUGAACAUGGUAGCGCCUCUUGUGUUCCAAACAUGUCGAUUUGACUGUUGUGGCACAUGGAAGGUUGCUCGUGCUUUGGGAUGCGGAAAGCUUUGUGUGGCUGAGGGAUGACAUCUCUCGAUUGCUUAAAUUGUCCCUGAUAUAUGAACGACUGCAACUCUCGUUUCUAGCUCAGGUAAUGCUUGGCUUUGCUGGCUGCCAUGGACUAGAGCGGUUGUUGAGGUUGUGUAGGAAUGC
This 394-nucleotide unclassified non-coding RNA is filed under the name Romanoa tamnoides. Its description in RNAcentral is "partial external transcribed spacer". Lineage: Eukaryota; Viridiplantae; Streptophyta; Magnoliopsida; Malpighiales; Euphorbiaceae. The record is from RNAcentral.